Molecule: ribosomal RNA, 433 nt
Filed under: uncultured bacterium
Lineage: Bacteria
Description: partial 16S ribosomal RNA
Rfam family: Bacterial small subunit ribosomal RNA
Source: RNAcentral
AACGAACGCUGGCGGCAUGCCUAACACAUGCAAGUCGAACGAGACCUUCGGGUCUAGUGGCGCACGGGUGCGUAACGCGUGGGAACCUGCCCUUAGGUUCGGAAUAACUCCCCGAAAGGGGUGCUAAUACCGGAUAAUGUCUUCGGUCCAAAGAUUUAUCGCCUUUGGAUGGGCCCGCGUUGGAUUAGCUAGUUGGUAGGGUAAAAGCCUACCAAGGCGACGAUCCAUAGCUGGUCUGAGAGGAUGAUCAGCCACACUGGGACUGAGACACGGCCCAGACUCCUACGGGAGGCAGCAGUGGGGAAUAUUGGGCAAUGGGCGAAAGCCUGAUCCAGCAAUGCCGCGUGAGUGAUGAAGGCCUUAGGGUUGUAAAGCGCUUUUACCCGGGAUGAUAAUGACAGUACCGGGAGAAUAAGCUCCGGCUAACUCCGUG